Molecule: ribosomal RNA, 279 nt
Filed under: uncultured Oscillibacter sp.
Lineage: Bacteria; Bacillati; Bacillota; Clostridia; Eubacteriales; Oscillospiraceae
Description: partial 16S ribosomal RNA
Rfam family: Bacterial small subunit ribosomal RNA
Source: RNAcentral
UGGGGAAUAUUGGGCAAUGGACGCAAGUCUGACCCAGCAACGCCGCGUGAAGGAAGAAGGCUUUCGGGUUGUAAACUUCUUUUAAGGGGGAACAGUAGAAGAGGGUACCCCUUGAAUAAGCCACGGCUAACUACGUGCCAGCAGCCGCGGUAAUACGUAGGUGGCAAGCGUUGUCCGGAUUUACUGGGUGUAAAGGGCGUGCAGCCGGAGAGACAAGUCAGAUGUGAAAUCCGCGGGCUUAACCCGCGAACUGCAUUUGAAACUGUUCUUCUUGGAGUA